RNAcentral lists this ribosomal RNA (446 nucleotides) under uncultured bacterium. Its description in RNAcentral is "partial 16S ribosomal RNA". It matches the Rfam family "Bacterial small subunit ribosomal RNA", at positions 338 to 795 of the family's 1533-position model. The record is from RNAcentral.
CCUACGGGAGGCAGCAGUCGAGAAUCAUUCACAAUGGGGGAAACCCUGAUGGUGCGACGCCGCGUGGGGGAAUGAAGGUCUUCGGAUUGUAAACCCCUGUCAUGUGGGAGCAAAUUAAAAAGAUAGUACCACAAGAGGAAGAGACGGCUAACUCUGUGCCAGCAGCCGCGGUAAUACAGAGGUCUCAAGCGUUGUUCGGAAUCACUGGGCGUAAGGCGUGCGUAGGCUGUUUCGUAAGUCGUGUGUGAAAGGCGCGGGCUCAACCCGCGGACGGCACAUGAUACUGCGAGACUAGAGUAAUGGAGGGGGAACCGGAAUUCUCGGUGUAGCAGUGAAAUGCGUAGAUAUCGAGAGGAACACUCGUGGCGAGGGCGGGUUCCUGGACAUUAACUGACGCUGAGGCACGAAGGCCAGGGGAGCGAAAGGGAUUAGAUACCCUGGUAGUC